RNAcentral lists this ribosomal RNA (447 nucleotides) under uncultured bacterium. Its description in RNAcentral is "bacterial SSU rRNA". It matches the Rfam family "Bacterial small subunit ribosomal RNA", at positions 355 to 825 of the family's 1533-position model. The record is from RNAcentral.
UCGGGAAUUUUGGGCAAUGGGCGAAAGCCUGACCCAGCAACGCCGCGUGAAGGAUGAAGUAUUUCGGUAUGUAAACUUCGAAAGAAUAGGAAGAAUAAAUGACGGUACUAUUUAUAAGCUCCGGCUAACUACGUGCCAGCAGCCGCGGUAAUACGUAGGGAGCAAGCGUUGUUCGGAUUUACUGGGCGUAAAGGGCGCGUAGGCGGCGCGGUAAGUCACUUGUGAAAUCUCUGAGCUUAACUCAGAACGGCCAAGUGAUACUGCAGUGCUAGAGUGCAGAAGGGGCAAUCGGAAUUCUUGGUGUAGCGGUGAAAUGCGUAGAUAUCAAGAGGAACACCUGAGGUGAAGACGGGUUGCUGGGCUGACACUGACGCUGAGGCGCGAAAGCUAGGGGAGCAAACGGGAUUAGAUACCCUGGUAGUCCCUGAGCGGGCUGGCAAGGCGCAU